CACGGGGGGAGCGAACGUUGUUCGGAAUCACUGGGCGUAAAGCGCACGUAGGCGGCUUGGCAAGUCGGAUGUGAAAUCCCUCGGCUCAACCAAGGAAGUGCAUCCGAAACUGCUGAGCUUGAGUACUUAAGAGGAUCGCGGAAUUCCCGGUGUAGAGGUGAAAUUCGUAGAUAUCGGGAGGAACACCAGUGGCGAAGGCGGCGAUCUGGGAAGAUACUGACGCUGAGGUGCGAAAGCGUGGGGAGCAAACAGG
Molecule: ribosomal RNA, 253 nt
Filed under: uncultured bacterium
Lineage: Bacteria
Description: partial 16S ribosomal RNA
Rfam family: Bacterial small subunit ribosomal RNA
Source: RNAcentral